This 949-nucleotide ribosomal RNA is filed under the name Mucor irregularis. RNAcentral describes it as "eukaryotic LSU rRNA". It matches the Rfam family "Eukaryotic large subunit ribosomal RNA", at positions 81 to 938 of the family's 3401-position model. The record is from RNAcentral. Lineage: Eukaryota; Fungi; Mucoromycota; Mucoromycetes; Mucorales; Mucoraceae.
UAGUAACGGCGAGUGAAGAGGAAAGAGCUCAAAGUUGGAACCUGUUUGGCUUAGCUAAACCGGAUUGUAAACUGUAGAAGUGUUUUCCAGACACGCCUGGUAAAAAAGUCCUUUGGAACAGGGCAUCAUAGAGGGUGAGAAUCCCGUCAUUGGCCAGAGCUGUUGUCUUUUGUGAUACAUUUUCAAAGAGUCAGGUUGUUUGGGAAUGCAGCCUAAAUUGGGUGGUAAAUCUCACCUAAAGCUAAAUAUUUGCGAGAGACCGAUAGCGAACAAGUACCGUGAGGGAAAGAUGAAAAGAACUUUGAAAAGAGAGUUAAACAGUAUGUGAAAUUGUUAAAAGGGAACCGUUUGGAGCCAGACUGGCUUGAUCGUAAUCACUCUAGGCUUUGGCCUGGAUGCACUUGCGGUCUAUGCCGGCCAACGACAGUUUUGUUUGAGGGAAAAAAUUACAUUGAAUGUGGCCCUUCGGGGUGUUAUAGCUUUGUAAAAAAUACCUUGGACGGGACUGAGGAACGCAGCGAAUGCCUUUAGGCGAGAUUGCUGGGUGCUUGCGCUGAUACAUGCUAGAAUUUCUGCUUCGGGUGGUGCUAGUGUGUAAAGGAGUAACCCGCUUAGUAUAUUUUUUAUUCGCUUAGGUUGUUGGCUUAAUGACUCUAAAUGACCCGUCUUGAAACACGGACCAAGGAGUCCACCAUUAGUGCAAGUAUUUGGGUGACAAACCCAUAUGCGCAAGGAAACUGAUUGAUACGAAGGCGCAAGCUGGCAGUAUCACCCGGCGUUGACGUUUUAUACUGAACUGACCGAGGUAAAGCACUAAUGAUGGGACCCGAAAGAUGGUGAACUAUGCCUGAAUAGGGUGAAGCCGGAGGAAACUCCGGUGGAGGCUCGUAGCGAUUCUGACGUGCAAAUCGAUCGUCAAAUUUGGGUAUAGGGGCGAAAGACUAAUCGA